GAUGAACGCUGGCGGCGUGCCUAAUACAUGCAAGUCGAGCGAACGGACGAGAAGCUUGCUUCUCUGAUGUUAGCGGCGGACGGGUGAGUAACACGUGGAUAACCUACCUAUAAGACUGGGAUAACUUCGGAAAACCGGAGCUAAUACCGGAUAAUAUUUUGAACCGCAUGGUUCAAAAGUGAAAGACGGUCUUGCUGUCACUUAUAGAUGGAUCCGCGCUGCAUUAGCUAGUUGGUAAGGUAACGGCUUACCAAGGCAACGAUGCAUAGCCGACCUGAGAGGGUGAUCGGCCACACUGGAACUGAGACACGGUCCAGACUCCUACGGGAGGCAGCAGUAGGGAAUCUUCCGCAAUGGGCGAAAGCCUGACGGAGCAACGCCGCGUGAGUGAUGAAGGCCUUCGGAUCGUAAAACUCUGUUAUUAGGGAAGAACAUAUGUGUAAGUAACUGUGCACAUCUUGACGGUACCUAAUCAGAAAGCCACGGCUAACUACGUG
This 497-nucleotide ribosomal RNA is filed under the name uncultured bacterium. RNAcentral describes it as "partial 16S ribosomal RNA". It matches the Rfam family "Bacterial small subunit ribosomal RNA", at positions 28 to 507 of the family's 1533-position model. The record is from RNAcentral.